Molecule: ribosomal RNA, 385 nt
Filed under: uncultured bacterium
Lineage: Bacteria
Description: partial 16S ribosomal RNA
Source: RNAcentral
GCGUGGGAGAAGGCUUGGUCGUAAUCUUGUGAGAGACGUACAGAAUAGGGUCGGUAACUCUGCCACGCCCGUACAGACCCAGCUUACCGGAGUGACUGGGCGUAGCGUAGGGUAAAGCGAGUGAAAUCUGUGCUACCAUGGUAUACUCUGCUGAGAGUGAGGUCUGGAAUUCGUGUAGAGUAAAUCCGUAAUAUGAAGAACACCAUGCUAGGUCUGCCGUGGGGAGCGAACCGGAUUAGGUACCCGGGUAGUCCACGCCGUAACUAUGUACUAGUGUUUACAAUAACGCGUUAAGACGCCUGUGGUCGGUCGCAAGACAAAAAGGAUGACGGGCGCAAGCGGUGGAUGUCUUAAUUCAUAAGAACUCGUUGACGGGCGGUGAUGC